GCUGUUAAGGGUUCGUAGUUGAACUGAGGGUGCUCCAGGUAGACAUUCCAGUCCCUCCCUGCUUUCGGGUUUGGCGACUCUUGCUCCUGGCACUCGUGAACGAUGGAAACAAAUACCACGGGGUUUUUCCCUCCAACAUCAUUCGCAUGCAACGUAUGCCGUGUGGGGGGAUGCCCGUGUUUUUACUGUGACUAAAGAAGCGUGACCAAAGCAGUCAUUCGACGUGGAUUUCAAAGCUGGGAUAACAACGAAGCACCCUACGGAUUUACCGUUUCGGCUUUUGUUGGUGUUAACAGUCUGUGGGGACUAUGGGUUCGCAUGACAAGCGUCGUGGGAGCACACCCCUCGUGGGGUGUUCCCCGCGCCUCCGGGGUUUCUAUUCAGGGCUCGUCCUUGGUCUCUUUUCGGCUUGCGAACUCAGGAAUGAAGGAGGGUUGUUCGGGGGAGAACGUACUUGGACGUGAGAGGUGAAUUCUUAGACCGUCCAAAGACGCACUUAAGCGAAGGCAUUCUUCAAGGGUACCUUCAUCAUCAAGAACCAAAGUGG
This 547-nucleotide ribosomal RNA is filed under the name uncultured kinetoplastid. Its description in RNAcentral is "bacterial SSU rRNA". It matches the Rfam family "Eukaryotic small subunit ribosomal RNA", at positions 615 to 992 of the family's 1831-position model. The record is from RNAcentral. Lineage: Eukaryota; Euglenozoa; Kinetoplastea.